GCUCAAUCGGUAGAGCGUGAGACUCUUAAUCUCAAGGUUGUGGGUUCGACCCCCAC
This 56-nucleotide transfer RNA is filed under the name Kappamyces sp. JEL0680. RNAcentral's name for it is "tRNA-Lys". It matches the Rfam family "tRNA", at positions 10 to 63 of the family's 71-position model. From Rfam's summary of the family: Transfer RNA (tRNA) molecules are approximately 80 nucleotides in length. Their secondary structure includes four short double-helical elements and three loops (D, anti-codon, and T loops). RNAcentral also lists the same sequence under 1 other name. The record is from RNAcentral. Lineage: Eukaryota; Fungi; Chytridiomycota; Chytridiomycetes; Rhizophydiales; Kappamycetaceae.